This 300-nucleotide ribosomal RNA is filed under the name uncultured Simplicispira sp. RNAcentral describes it as "bacterial SSU rRNA". It matches the Rfam family "Bacterial small subunit ribosomal RNA", at positions 496 to 795 of the family's 1533-position model. The record is from RNAcentral. Lineage: Bacteria; Pseudomonadati; Pseudomonadota; Betaproteobacteria; Burkholderiales; Comamonadaceae.
GCUAACUACGUGCCAGCAGCCGCGGUAAUACGUAGGGUGCAAGCGUUAAUCGGAAUUACUGGGCGUAAAGCGUGCGCAGGCGGUUAUAUAAGACAGAUGUGAAAUCCCCGGGCUCAACCUGGGAACUGCAUUAGUGACUGUAUAGCUAGAGUGCGGCAGAGGGGGAUGGAAUUCCGCGUGUAGCAGUGAAAUGCGUAGAUAUGCGGAGGAACACCGAUGGCGAAGGCAAUCCCCUGGGCCUGCACUGACGCUCAUGCACGAAAGCGUGGGGAGCAAACAGGAUUAGAUACCCCAGUAGUC